GAAUCAAGAACUCCUUCAUAAAACCUGGAAAAUAAGAAAACACAUUCAAGAACAAGCAUUGCAUAAAUGCUGUUAGAAAGAUCAAAGCGAAGUUGUUAGAAUGGAGAUUUGCAUAAAGUUCAGAAAUUUCAGCCAAAGAUGUCUAGCACAAAUAAAAAGUCAUGAACUAAGUUCACAACUAAGAAUAAAAAGCACUUGGUGAAGGGUUUUUCCCCCCUUUGGGUGAAUGAUGCAGUUCUUUGCACUGAGCUAACUUUAGGCAUGAUUCAGCUCUCACAUAAAGCUGGUCAAAAGGUCAAAAUACAGCAACAGAAAACAUCCACAUUCUCCAUUUACAAAUUGCUUAAAUUAAUUUUAAAUCCUAUUCAGCCAGACUAGAUUUAGUCCCAGUAGGCAUAAGUAAUUAUUAAACUAAUCCAAUUUCGCAUGUGAUGUCAGUAUGGCAUAUGCUCUAGAGAGAAGCAAACCCAGAGCUAUUCUGUUUUAACUGUUAACAACUAUUAAGCUUAUGGCCACUAUUGACAAUUUCAAAAGUAAUGUGUAACCACGAUUGAAAAAGUGCAAAUAGUUUUGGGACAUUUAAUUGGUCACUUCCCUAUUAUAUUUCACAACUCCGUCAUCAAGAGUAAACACUCACCACCUGCCAGUCUAGUCUACAUGGUAAAGACAAUAAACACUGUCCUGGUGAUGCAACCACCUCCCAGUCAAUUUGCAAGUGUCCGUUCAUUUAUUUCUCUUUUUUUAUCUAGUCAUUGCCAUGGCAUGCAUAUGGCCAUAUCCUAUACUCAAAUUCCAAUUUUAACUUUUCCAGCUCCUAGUCCCUUCUUUUUUCAGAGUUAUGGUGGAAAGCCCUAAAAAUUCAACAAAAGUAGUUAAUCCUCUCUCUCUUGCAAGAUUAUGAAGAUUAAGACACCUAAAUGAUAGGCACAAAAGAAGAGGUAUUUUAUCAGCCUCAGAUUUGGGAUUUGAAGGUGAAAAUGCCGUCAUAUAUAUACAUAGUAUGAAACUUUAACAAAUCCUCUGGUAACGGAUGAUUGAACACAAGUAAACCAAAGAUACUUUUAUAUUCCUGAAAAAAAUCAAAGAAAGUCUAACCAUCCAACAAAAUACCAUAGAAAAAUGAACUAUAAUAAAACUAAAAGUCUUAAAGGUAUCUCACGUCUUGUCCUUCGGCCACCAGA
Molecule: unclassified non-coding RNA, 1181 nt
Filed under: Hevea brasiliensis (rubber tree)
Lineage: Eukaryota; Viridiplantae; Streptophyta; Magnoliopsida; Malpighiales; Euphorbiaceae
Source: RNAcentral